ACUCAAAUGAAUUGACGGGGGCCUGCACAAGCGGUGGAGUAUGUGGCUUAAUUCGAUGCAACGCGAAGAACCUUACCUGGCCUUGACAUGCACGUAGUAGGAGCCUGAAAGGGUAACGACCCCGCAAGGGGAGCGUGCACAGGUGCUGCAUGGCUGUCGUCAGCUCGUGUCGUGAGAUGUUGGGUUAAGUCCCGCAACGAGCGCAACCCUUGUGUCCUGUUGCCACUCCAACGAGAGUUGGAAGCACUCUGGACAGACUGCCUCGCUUAAACGAGGAGGAAGGUGGGGAUGACGUCAAGUCAGGAUGGCCCUUACGGCCAGGGCUGCACACGUACUACAAUGCCCGGCACAAAGGGAAGCAAGACCGCAAGGUGGAGCAAAUCCCAAAAAACCGGGCUCAGUUCAGAUUGUCGGCUGCAACUCGCCGACAUGAAGCUGGAAUCGCUAGUAAUGGCGCAUCAGCUACGGCGCCGUGAAUACGUUCCCAGGCCUUGUACACACCGCCCGU
Molecule: ribosomal RNA, 508 nt
Filed under: uncultured bacterium
Lineage: Bacteria
Description: partial 16S ribosomal RNA
Rfam family: Bacterial small subunit ribosomal RNA
Source: RNAcentral